UACGUAGGGGGCUAGCGUUGUCCGGAAUCAUUGGGCGUAAAGAGCGUGUAGGCGGUCCGGUAAGUCCGCUGUGAAAGUCGGGGGCUCAACCCUCGAAUGCCGGUGGAUACUGUCGGGCUUGAGUGCGGAAGAGGCGAGUGGAAUUCCUGGUGUAGCGGUGAAAUGCGCAGAUAUCAGGAGGAACACCAAUUGCGAAGGCAGCUCGCUGGGACGUUACUGACGCUGAUGCGCGAAAGCGUGGGGAGCAAACAGG
This 253-nucleotide ribosomal RNA is filed under the name uncultured bacterium. RNAcentral's name for it is "partial 16S ribosomal RNA". It matches the Rfam family "Bacterial small subunit ribosomal RNA", at positions 524 to 776 of the family's 1533-position model. The record is from RNAcentral.